Molecule: non-coding RNA, 113 nt
Organism: Acanthosepion pharaonis
Lineage: Eukaryota; Metazoa; Mollusca; Cephalopoda; Sepiida; Sepiidae
Source: the annotation of a GenBank genome assembly
UUACGGCCAUAUCUCGUUGAAACAACGGUUUCCACGCGAUCACCUAAGUUAAGCAACGUCGAGCCUGGCCAGUACCUAGUUGUGUGACCUCUUGGGAAUACCAGCUGCUGUAA